GGUCCGGUGGUGUAGUGGAAUAUCACAUCGUUCUUAUAUUGGAGUGCUUUCAGCUCCAGAUAUGCGAGGGUCCUGGGUUCGAACCCCAGUCGGACCA
This 97-nucleotide transfer RNA is filed under the name Magnaporthiopsis poae ATCC 64411. RNAcentral describes it as "Magnaporthe poae ATCC 64411 tRNA-Ile for anticodon UAU". It matches the Rfam family "tRNA". From Rfam's summary of the family: Transfer RNA (tRNA) molecules are approximately 80 nucleotides in length. Their secondary structure includes four short double-helical elements and three loops (D, anti-codon, and T loops). Lineage: Eukaryota; Fungi; Ascomycota; Sordariomycetes; Magnaporthales; Magnaporthaceae. The record is from Rfam by way of RNAcentral.